UCCUCUCAGCAUCCAGCAGUUUCUGCC
Molecule: non-coding RNA, 27 nt
Filed under: Homo sapiens (human)
Lineage: Eukaryota; Metazoa; Chordata; Mammalia; Primates; Hominidae
Source: RNAcentral